UUCAUCAUCGCUCCCCUAGCUUCAAUGCGCCGUCCCCAAUCCCCCACCCCGCCGCCGCGGUUCAAAAAUUGAAAACGUCUGGUCCUCCGCGUCGCCUCGCCCACGGAGCGCUGCCGGUCUCUCUGCUCCUCGCCGGCCGCGGUCGUCUGUUGCUCGGCGGCCUCCGUCGCCCCCCGUGCCGCCCGGCCAGCGUGCGCUACGCGCAGCUGCCCUCAGGGCGGGGCCACCCGCGUCCGCCCCCUGGCCUCCGUGGGCCUCCGCAGGCCGUGCCCCGACGCCGUUCGCGUCCUUCAGGUGGGCCGGCCGUUCGCACCGCCGACCGGCCUCCGCGUCCCGUGCCCCGCCGCCCGCCGCCGUUCGCGUCCUUCAGGGCGGCGGGCCGCGUCCCUCACGGGCGGCGGCGCUCAGGGACGGGCCACCGGCCUCCCCGCCUGGCGUGCGGACCGGCCGCCGAGAGCCGCGGCCAUCUGCCCUCACCGCUCGGCGUCCUGCCCGGCCGCCGUGCACCCUGGGCGUCUGCCCUCUGGGCUGGGGCAAAGGCCUCUGCGCCGACCGUCCUGCCCGGACGCCGAGUGGCACGAGCGGCGGAAGGGGCUACGCGCCCACCGUGCAGGAGCGGGUGAAGAGGCGGCGGCGGGGCCGCGAGAAGAAGCUACUGCGUUCGGACAGCAUCGCGGACGGGAAAGGCAUUCCGCGGCCACCCACAAUCCGACGACUUCCUCCAGAAGAAGAAAAACCAGGCAAUUGCAUCGACGAAGAAGAAGAAACGUUUGUGCUUACAGUUUUCUUUGUUCUCUUCAUCAUUAUGUACUCUACAUUUUCUGUUUUUUGUUUCACUUUUAACUUGCCGUGACGAUUCAUUCGGUUCUGCGAUCUGUAAACUGCGGCAAUGUCAUACAUACUCACCAUGUUCCUCAUGUAACAAAUCAUGGUCCUGAAUUUAUGUGCCUACUUCAAUUGUUUGCCCAACCUCAAUUUAUGCAUUCUGUACUCAUGUUACUGCAUUUUGGCCUCAACCUGAAUUUUUCAGAUGUGCUCAUAACUUGGCCUGAACUUGAAUUUUUCAGAUGUGUUCACAAUUAUGCAUUUUCUAUCUUCCUUAAUUUUCAUUGGCCCAACCUUAUGCAAUGUGUGAUCAUGAUACUGCAUUUUGGGCUCAACCUUACUUUUUGCCAUGUGUGCACAAUAGGGCUGAACAUGAAAUUGUUUUUUCAUACUUUCGGUCAAAAUUACCGCUUCCUGGAUUCUAUAUAUUUAGAUUCUAUAUAUUUACUCUUUUUCGGUGUGAUGAGGUCAACAGUCAAGGUUAUUGCCGUCGAUCAAAGUAUGAACAACCCGCACCAAACACGAGCAUCCCUCAGCGAUAUCACCAACACACAGACCUCUGAACCAGCCGGUGCUAUAGAUGAUGCCGAACGUAAGAAGCAAGAACGGAACGCGCAGCAGCGGAAACGGCGAGCUGAGCUGUCCAGUGAACAAAGAGAAGAAAUUAAUAGAAAACAAUGCGAAUACAGGGCACGGGCAUCACUCGGCGAUAUCACCAACACACAGACCUCAGAUCAAGCCGGUGCGGUAGAUGAUGCCGAACAUAGGAAGCAAGAACGGAACACGCAGCAGCGGAAACGGCGAGCGGAACAAAGAGAAGAGAUUAAUAGGAAACAACGCGAAUACAGAACGGAACAAAGAGAAGAGAUUAAUAUGAAACAACGCGAAUACAGAGCACGAAAAAAGGCUGAAUCAAACCACACUAUCCCAACAACCAUCGUCACUCCAACUGUGCCAUCAACCUCUUUGACAGAGGGGGGACUACGAAUGUCCGAUGUUGGGGACACCUUUCUCGAUGCUGCUACAUGUACUGACCAUGAUUUCAAACCUAUUGAUAUGCUGGGUGCAACUAAGCAAGAACCACAUAAUUUGGUUCAAGUGUCAACAGAAAUUGAUGUGCAACAAGAAGCACAGGGAGAUGAAGGAAAUAACAAUGGUGUUGAUGCUGUCACAGAGGUGGACCACAAUUUAAAAUCAGUUCAAAUGUUGCUUUCAACUGAGGACGGGCAUCAUGCACGUGCUGACCAUCUCGAUAUGGACAAUCAAAUAAAGGAAGGACAUCCCCAUCCUGACCACGUUGAAGACCCUUUGGAAGAUGCUGUCAAAGGUCCUGGCCAUGAUGAGCAGGUGUGCUAGAACAGAUCAGCAAGUCAUCAAGCUCUAACCAAGAAAAUGAGCUGCGGACAUUGAUUAGGAUAUCACAACAUAACAAACCAAAGAAGUCGAACAUAGCUCAAGUUCUGCCCUAAGAUUAUAUGUGAACCAUACAAGAUAUUGAGAUUAUUGAAUACAUAAAAUCAUUACCGGCGGAAACAGUUGUGGUGAACAUCGAUAGUGCAUGGUUAAAUAGAAAAGAUAUGGAAUGUCUUUUCAAUGGUGACAUGCAAUUGGAUGGCGAAGCCCUAAGUGCAUAUAUUCAUUGUAUGAGGGAUGAAGAGCAUCUACUUUGUAGAGAAGGUGGAAAGGUCUUCUUGGAGAAUACAUUCAUUUCAAGCCUACUCAAGCGUGAUGGUGAUCCUGAUGUGGUCUUAAAUUAUAAGGAAGAC
Panicum virgatum (switchgrass) is the source of this 2591-nucleotide RNA transcript. RefSeq lists it as uncharacterized. The transcript has 8 exons. Lineage: Eukaryota; Viridiplantae; Streptophyta; Magnoliopsida; Poales; Poaceae. The record is from RefSeq and is a predicted model, not a curated record.